AUGACCUACGGGAGGCAGCAGUGGGGAAUAUUGCACAAUGGGGGAAACCCUGAUGCAGCAACGCCGCGUGAGUGAAGAAGUAUUUCGGUAUGUAAAGCUCUAUCAGCAGGGAAGAGAAUGACGGUACCUGACUAAGAAGCCCCGGCUAACUACGUGCCAGCAGCCGCGGUAAUACGUAGGGGGCGAGCGUUAUCCGGAUUUAUUGGGUUUAAAGGGUGCGCAGGCGGCACGGCAAGCCGGCGGUCAAAUC
RNAcentral lists this ribosomal RNA (250 nucleotides) under uncultured bacterium. Its description in RNAcentral is "partial 16S ribosomal RNA". It matches the Rfam family "Bacterial small subunit ribosomal RNA", at positions 332 to 601 of the family's 1533-position model. The record is from RNAcentral.